This 88-nucleotide long non-coding RNA is filed under the name Sus scrofa (pig). RNAcentral describes it as "lncRNA (ENSSSCG00055005229.1)". The record is from RNAcentral. Lineage: Eukaryota; Metazoa; Chordata; Mammalia; Artiodactyla; Suidae.
AGAACCUAAAGAAAUGGUGUUACCUGGCAAGAGAUCUGCUAUCCUUUAUGAAAAAUCCAGCCAAGGUUGGCCCUUUGAAUUCUUUGAG